AGGUCAAUGAUGGGACUUUACCUUGUCUUGAAAACAGAUGAUGACCUAAAUAUCAUACUGAAUAGGAUUAUGUAGGGACAG
Molecule: small nucleolar RNA, 81 nt
Organism: Pteronotus mesoamericanus
Lineage: Eukaryota; Metazoa; Chordata; Mammalia; Chiroptera; Mormoopidae
Product: small nucleolar RNA SNORD115
Exons: 1
Source: RefSeq, a predicted model, not a curated record